This 87-nucleotide ribosomal RNA is filed under the name Clostridium sp. AM45-5. RNAcentral describes it as "partial 16S ribosomal RNA". It matches the Rfam family "Bacterial small subunit ribosomal RNA", at positions 1 to 82 of the family's 1533-position model. The record is from RNAcentral. Lineage: Bacteria; Bacillati; Bacillota; Clostridia; Eubacteriales; Clostridiaceae.
UUUAACAUGAGAGUUUGAUCCUGGCUCAGGAUGAACGCUGGCGGCGUGCCUAACACAUGCAAGUCGAACGAGGUAAAUGAGAUGAAG